CGGCCGGGAGCUUACCUGCAGUCGAACGGCAGCACGGACUUCGGUCUGGUGGCGAGUGGCGAACGGGUGAGUAAUGUAUCGGAACGUGCCCAGUAGCGGGGGAUAACUACGCGAAAGCGUAGCUAAUACCGCAUACGCCCUACGGGGGAAAGCAGGGGAUCGCAAGACCUUGCACUAUUGGAGCGGCCGAUAUCGGAUUAGCUAGUUGGUGGGGUAACGGCUCACCAAGGCGACGAUCCGUAGCUGGUUUGAGAGGACGACCAGCCACACUGGGACUGAGACACGGCCCAGACUCCUACGGGAGGCAGCAGUGGGGAAUUUUGGACAAUGGGGGAAACCCUGAUCCAGCCAUGCCGCGUGAAGGAAGAAUGUCCUAUGGAUUGUAAACUUCUUUUGUAUGGGAGCAAUAAGGUCUUCGUGAAGACUGAUGAGAGUACCAUACGAAUAAGCAUCGGCUAACUCCGUGCCAGCAGCCGCGGUAAUACGGAGGAUGCGAGCGUUAUCCGGAUUUAUUGGGUUUAAAGGGUGCGUAGGCUGUUAUAUAAGUCAGUGGUGAAAUAUUCGGGCUCAACCGGGAUACUGCCAUUGAUACUGUAUAGCUGGAAUAUGGUUGCUGUGGGUGGAAUGUGUGGUGUAGCGGUGAAAUGCAUAGAUAUCACACAGAAUAUCGAUUGCGAAGGCAACUCACAAAGCCAUUAUUGACGCUGAUGCACGAAAGUGUGGGGAUCAAACAGGAUUAGAUACCCUGGUAGUCCACACUGUAACGAUGAUAACUAGCUGUCGGCGAUAGAUAGUCGUGGCUAAGCGAAAGCGAUAGUUA
Molecule: ribosomal RNA, 820 nt
Filed under: uncultured Achromobacter sp.
Lineage: Bacteria; Pseudomonadati; Pseudomonadota; Betaproteobacteria; Burkholderiales; Alcaligenaceae
Description: bacterial SSU rRNA
Rfam family: Bacterial small subunit ribosomal RNA
Source: RNAcentral